AUCCAUCUGACAAGUCCAAAAUAGGACGAAACGUGAGUCCUGGAU
RNAcentral lists this non-coding RNA (45 nucleotides) under Schistosoma haematobium. Lineage: Eukaryota; Metazoa; Platyhelminthes; Trematoda; Strigeidida; Schistosomatidae. The record is from RNAcentral.